This 482-nucleotide ribosomal RNA is filed under the name uncultured bacterium. Its description in RNAcentral is "partial 16S ribosomal RNA". It matches the Rfam family "Bacterial small subunit ribosomal RNA", at positions 30 to 507 of the family's 1533-position model. The record is from RNAcentral.
AUUGAACGCUGGCGGCAUGCUUUACACAUGCAAGUCGAACGGUAACAGGCCGCAAGGUGCUGACGAGUGGCGAACGGGUGAGUACUGCAUCGGAACGUGCCCAGUCGUGGGGGAUAACUACUCGAAAGAGUAGCUAAUACCGCAUACGAUCUAUGGAUGAAAGCGGGGGACCGUAAGGCCUCGCGCGAUUGGAGCGGCCGAUGUCAGAUUAGGUAGUUGGUGGGGUAAAGGCUCACCAAGCCAACGAUCUGUAGCUGGUCUGAGAGGACGACCAGCCACACUGGGACUGAGACACGGCCCAGACUCCUACGGGAGGCAGCAGUGGGGAAUUUUGGACAAUGGGCGCAAGCCUGAUCCAGCAAUGCCACGUGCAGGAAGAAGGCCUUCGGGUUGUAAACUGCUUUUGUACGGAACGAAACGGCUCUGGUUAAUACCCGGGGCUAAUGACGGUACCGUAAGAAUAAGCACCGGCUAACUACGUG